This 497-nucleotide ribosomal RNA is filed under the name uncultured bacterium. Its description in RNAcentral is "partial 16S ribosomal RNA". It matches the Rfam family "Bacterial small subunit ribosomal RNA", at positions 28 to 507 of the family's 1533-position model. The record is from RNAcentral.
GAUGAACGCUGGCGGCGUGCCUAAUACAUGCAAGUCGAGCGAACGGACGAGAAGCUUGCUUCUCUGAUGUUAGCGGCGGACGGGUGAGUAACACGUGGAUAACCUACCUAUAAGACUGGGAUAACUUCGGGAAACCGGAGCUAAUACCGGAUAAUAUUUUGAACCGCAUGGUUCAAAGGUGAAAGACGGUCUUGCUGUCACUUAUAGAUGGAUCCGCGCUGCAUUAGCUAGUUGGUAAGGUAACGGCUUACCAAGGCAACGAUGCAUAGCCGACCUGAGAGGGGGAUCGGCCACACUGGAACUGAGACACGGUCCAGACACCUACGGGAGGCAGCAGUAGGGAAUCUUCCGCAAUGGGCGAAAGCCUGACGGAGCAACGCCGCGUGAGUGAGGAAGGUCUUCGGAUCGUAAAACUCUGUUAUUAGGGAAGAACAUAUGUGUAAGUAACUGUGCACAUCUUGACGGUACCUAAUCAGAAAGCCACGGCUAACUACGUG